This is an unclassified non-coding RNA of Cavia aperea (Brazilian guinea pig), 97 nucleotides long. It matches the Rfam family "Y RNA". From Rfam's summary of the family: Y RNAs are components of the Ro ribonucleoprotein particle (Ro RNP), in association with Ro60 and La proteins. The record is from Ensembl. NCBI's taxonomy places the organism in Eukaryota, Metazoa, Chordata, Mammalia, Rodentia, Caviidae.
GGCUGGUCCGAUGGCAGUGGGUUAUCAGAACUUAUUAACAUUAGUGUCACUAAAGUUGGUAUACCACCCCCCCACUGCUAAAUUUGACUGGCAUUAA